UACGGGGGGGGCAAGCGUUGUUCGGAAUUACUGGGCGUAAAGGGCUCGUAGGUGGCCAACUAAGUCAGACGUGAAAUCCCCCGGCUUAACCGGGGAACUGCGUCUGAUACUGGAUGGCUUGAGUUCGGGAGAGGGAUGCGGAAUUCCAGGUGUAGCGGUGAAAUGCGUAGAUAUCUGGAGGAACACCGGUGGCGAAGGCGACAUCCUGGACCGACACUGACGCUGAGGAGCGAAAGCCAGGGGAGCAAACGGG
RNAcentral lists this ribosomal RNA (253 nucleotides) under uncultured bacterium. RNAcentral's name for it is "partial 16S ribosomal RNA". It matches the Rfam family "Bacterial small subunit ribosomal RNA", at positions 524 to 776 of the family's 1533-position model. The record is from RNAcentral.